This 400-nucleotide ribosomal RNA is filed under the name uncultured bacterium. RNAcentral's name for it is "bacterial SSU rRNA". It matches the Rfam family "Bacterial small subunit ribosomal RNA", at positions 358 to 774 of the family's 1533-position model. The record is from RNAcentral.
GGAAUAUUGCGCAAUGGAGGAAACUCUGACGCAGUGACGCCGCGUGCAGGAAGAAGGUUUUCGGAUUGUAAACUGCUUUAGUCAAGGAAGAUACAAGACAGUACUUGAAGAAUAAGCACCGGCUAACUAUGUGCCAGCAGCCGCGGUAAUACAUAGGGUGCGAGCGUUAUCCGGAAUUAUUGGGUGUAAAGGGUGCGUAGAUGGGAAAACAAGUUGGUUGUGAAAUCCCUCGGCUUAACUGAGGAACUGCAACCAAAACUAUUUUUCUUGAGUGCUGGAGGGGAAAGAGGAAUUCCUAGUGUAGCGGUGAAAUGCGUAGAUAUUAGGAGGAACACCGGUGGCGAAGGCGUCUUUCUGGACAGUAACUGACAUUGAGGCACGAAAGUGUGGGGAGCAAACA